RNAcentral lists this ribosomal RNA (393 nucleotides) under uncultured bacterium. RNAcentral's name for it is "partial 16S ribosomal RNA". It matches the Rfam family "Bacterial small subunit ribosomal RNA", at positions 523 to 918 of the family's 1533-position model. The record is from RNAcentral.
AUACGGAGGAUGCAAGCGUUAUCCGGAUUUAUUGGGUUUAAAGGGUGCGUAGGCGGAUGAUUAAGCGUGAGGUGAAAUGCCACUGCUCAACAGUGGAACUGCCUCGCGAACUGGUUGUCUUGAAUGCUCCUGCCGUGGGAGGAAUGUGUGGUGUAGCGGUGAAAUGCAUAGAGAUCACACAGAACACCGAUUGCGAAGGCAUCUCACGAAGGGUUGAUUGACGCUGAGGCACGAAAGCGUGGGGAUCAAACAGGAUUAGAUACCCUGGUAGUCCACGCAGUAAACGAUGAUGGCUAACCGCUGGUUUUUUCGGAUCAGUGGCCAAGCGAAAGCGAUAAGCCAUCCACCUGGGGAGUACGACCGCAAGGUUGAAACUCAAAUGAAUUGGCGGGG